RNAcentral lists this ribosomal RNA (468 nucleotides) under uncultured bacterium. RNAcentral's name for it is "partial 16S ribosomal RNA". It matches the Rfam family "Bacterial small subunit ribosomal RNA", at positions 28 to 507 of the family's 1533-position model. The record is from RNAcentral.
GAUGAACGCUGGCGGCGUGCUUAACACAUGCAAGUCGAACGGUGAAGGCGGAGCUUGCUCUGCUGGAUCAGUGGCGAACGGGUGAGUAACACGUGAGCAAUCUGCCCCUGACUCUGGGAUAAGCGCUGGAAACGGCGUCUAAUACUGGAUACGAGCUGCGAAGGCAUCUUCAGCAGCUGGAAAGAAUUUCGGUCAGGGAUGAGCUCGCGGCCUAUCAGCUUGUUGGUGAGGUAAUGGCUCACCAAGGCGUCGACGGGUAGCCGGCCCGAGAGGGUGACCGGCCACACUGGGACUGAGACACGGCCCAGACUCCUACGGGAGGCAGCAGUGGGGAAUAUUGCACAAUGGGCGAAAGCCUGAUGCAGCAACGCCGCGUGAGGGACGACGGCCUUCGGGUUGUAAACCUCUUUUAGCAGGGAAGAAGCGAAAGUGACGGUACCUGCAGAAAAAGCGCCGGCUAACUACGUG